AUAAAUUAUUUAGCCAAUUUCCCAGUCUCGGAAAAAAAAAAAGAGAGAGAGAGAGAAACAUUUCCCCUACUUCGCGGUUCAGGUGUUUACUUUUUACCAUCUGCUUAAUAAAUUCAUUGACUCAACUGUAAAGUGUAAAUAGAUUUUACAGCAUCCGUUAGAUUAAAGCUGAUAGUAUAAAUUUUAAAAACCUAGGGGAAGUGCGAUAGAUACUCUGAUCAUUCUACAUGGGCUGCAGAGGAAGAUGGAUAAUCAAGAGGCUUCGGAAGCCAUUAAUGCUCUCUCUUUGAAGGAUUCCUCAUCUAAACCUCCAAUUUCCACUUCCCAGAUAAUGAAUAAUCAAGAGGCUUCAGAUGCCAUUGUUGCACUCUCAUUGAAGGCUUCUUCAUCCGACACUUCCAUUGCCACUUCCCAGAUGAGUGUGGAGGAGAGGUUCAA
Molecule: non-coding RNA, 438 nt
Organism: Nicotiana tabacum (common tobacco)
Lineage: Eukaryota; Viridiplantae; Streptophyta; Magnoliopsida; Solanales; Solanaceae
Source: RefSeq, a predicted model, not a curated record